RNAcentral lists this ribosomal RNA (446 nucleotides) under Tramea lacerata. RNAcentral describes it as "partial 16S ribosomal RNA". It matches the Rfam family "Bacterial large subunit ribosomal RNA", at positions 1926 to 2585 of the family's 2925-position model. Lineage: Eukaryota; Metazoa; Arthropoda; Insecta; Odonata; Libellulidae. The record is from RNAcentral.
AACGGCCGCGGUAUACUGACCGUGCAAAGGUAGCAUAAUCAUUAGUCUUUUAAUAGAGGGCUGGAAUGAAAGGUUUAACGAGGAACUGACUGUCUCAUUUUAUUUGUUUUAAAAUUUAAUCUUUUAGUCAAAAAGCUAAAAUUUUAUUGGAAGACGAGAAGACCCUAUAGAUCUUUAUAGUAAGUUAUUUAUUUGUUUUUAUAUUAAUUUAUUUAAUUGGCUUUCUAUUUUGUUGGGGUGACAAAAAUAUAUAAGAAACUCUUUUAUUUAUUUAACAUUAAUUUAUGAUUAUUAGAUCCAUUAUUAGUGAUUGUUAGAUUAAGUUACCUUAGGGAUAACAGCGUAAUCCUCCUCCAGAGUUCAUAUUUACAGGAAGGGCUUGCGACCUCGAUGUUGGAUUAAGAUAAUAAUUAGGUGUAGCCGCUUAAUUUAUAGGUCUGUUCGAC